Molecule: ribosomal RNA, 435 nt
Filed under: uncultured Sulfuricurvum sp.
Lineage: Bacteria; Pseudomonadati; Campylobacterota; Epsilonproteobacteria; Campylobacterales; Sulfurimonadaceae
Description: bacterial SSU rRNA
Rfam family: Bacterial small subunit ribosomal RNA
Source: RNAcentral
AAUUCGAAGAUACACGAAGACCUUACCUGGCCUUGACAUGGUAGGAACCUUAAGAGAUUAGGGGUGCUAGCUUGCUAGAACCUACACACAGGUGCUGCACGGCUGUCGUCAGCUCGUGUCGUGAGAUGUUGGGUUAAGUCCCGCAACGAGCGCAACCCUCGUCCUUAGUUGCUAACAGUUCGGCUGAGCACUCUAGGGAGACUGCCUUCGCAAGGAGGAGGAAGGUGAGGACGACGUCAAGUCAUCAUGGCCCUUACGGCCAGGGCUACACACGUGCUACAAUGGGGCGUACAGAGAGCUGCGAUACCGCGAGGUGGAGCCAAUCUCUUAAAGCGUCUCUCAGUUCGGAUUGUUCUCUGCAACUCGAGAACAUGAAGCUGGAAUCACUAGUAAUCGCAGAUCAGCUAUGCUGCGGUGAAUACGUUCCCGGGUCUU